Molecule: small RNA, 73 nt
Organism: Polaribacter sp. Hel1_33_78
Lineage: Bacteria; Pseudomonadati; Bacteroidota; Flavobacteriia; Flavobacteriales; Flavobacteriaceae
Rfam family: Flavo-1 RNA
Source: Rfam
CAGUGUUACGGAUUGAAAUGGCAUCCUUUUUUGAAGAAUUGAAAAAAAGAUAGAAUGUAAAGCCCGACCUUUU